UAGCUCAAUGUCAGAGCCCGUGCCUAGGAUGCACGAAGCCCUGGGUUCAAUCCCCAG
This 57-nucleotide transfer RNA is filed under the name Mus musculus (house mouse). It matches the Rfam family "tRNA", at positions 8 to 63 of the family's 71-position model. From Rfam's summary of the family: Transfer RNA (tRNA) molecules are approximately 80 nucleotides in length. Their secondary structure includes four short double-helical elements and three loops (D, anti-codon, and T loops). The record is from Rfam by way of RNAcentral. Lineage: Eukaryota; Metazoa; Chordata; Mammalia; Rodentia; Muridae.